This is a long non-coding RNA of Spinacia oleracea (spinach), 815 nucleotides long. RefSeq lists it as uncharacterized. Lineage: Eukaryota; Viridiplantae; Streptophyta; Magnoliopsida; Caryophyllales; Amaranthaceae. The transcript has 4 exons. The record is from RefSeq and is a predicted model, not a curated record.
UCUUUAUCUCCUAUCGUCUAUCUCCUUUCUCUCUCAUUUCCUGGAUCCAUUUUCUGGAUCGUCUCUCUCUUUUCCCUCUCUCAAUUUCUGGAUCAACUUCUGGAUCGUCUCCCACCUUUCCCUCUUCUCUUUCACUUCAUAUUUUCUCGAUUUGUUGGAAACCACAGAAAAAAUCAACCUUAAUUUUCCAAAUUUGGAGAAAACUCACAAAAGUAAUUUAAUUAAUUCUGGGUUUUAUCAAGUUCAAUCAACUAAUGAGGAACAAAAAAUGGCGAUUAGAAACCCUUGGAUCUCGCACGCUUUAGCAGAUAUGGACCAUACUUCUCAAAUUUCACUAAUCCAUCAAUUAGAGCAAAGAUUGUAUGGUCCUUGCCAAUUCCAACAUUCUUCCCGGGAUGAAACUGAAAUGAACAUGUGAUGUUAGAGAUCAAUAUUGUGGAACAUCUGUUCAAAAGACUAUAUAAUCAGCAUAAAAGAGAGUUGCAAUCGCACGGACACUGAUGUAAUAUGUCACAAAAGCCGGUAAAUUGAGACCUACAUCCUAACAAAUAUUGGGUUGAAGGCUCGCAUAAAAGGGAAAUCGAAUUUUGGGUUUCGAUCAUAUUGGGACGGAUGGACUCUGUUGUUGCAACUGUUGACGAUAAAAAAAGGUGGGUUUUUUUCUCUCUUUCUUUUAUAAACUAAUAGAAUCUGAAAUUAGAGAUUAAAAUCAUACAACAUCUUAUUUAAAGAAAAGCAUGAUGUAAAAUCUGUAAUAACUAAUUAAAAUCAACAGAAGCAUGCAUAUUACUAUUUAUUUUUUGUUUAAGAGAUUG